Molecule: ribosomal RNA, 484 nt
Filed under: uncultured bacterium
Lineage: Bacteria
Description: partial 16S ribosomal RNA
Rfam family: Bacterial small subunit ribosomal RNA
Source: RNAcentral
GACGAACGCUGGCGGCGUGCUUAACACAUGCAAGUCGAACGAUGAAGCUGGAGCUUGCUCCGGUGGAUUAGUGGCGAACGGGUGAGUAACACGUGAGCAAUCUGCCCUUGACUCUGGGAUAACUGCGGGAAACUGUAGCUAAUACCGGAUACUUUCACUGGAAGGCAUCUUCUGGUGAAGAAAGAAUUUCGGUCAAGGAUGAGCUCGCGGCCUAUCAGCUUGUUGGUGGGGUAACGGCUCACCAAGGCGACGACGGGUAGCCGGCCUGAGAGGGUGACCGGCCACACUGGGACUGAGACACGGCCCAGACUCCGACGGGAGGCAGCAGUGGGGAAUAUUGCACAAUGGGCGCAAGCCUGAUGCAGCAACGCCGCGUGAGGGAUGAAGGCAUUCGGGUUGUAAACCUCUUUUAGCAGGGAAGAAGCGAAAGUGACGGUACCUGCAGAAAAAGCACCGGCUAACUACGUGCCAGCCGCCGCAGUAA